Molecule: ribosomal RNA, 565 nt
Filed under: uncultured Glomeromycotina
Lineage: Eukaryota; Fungi; Glomeromycota
Description: SSU rRNA
Rfam family: Eukaryotic small subunit ribosomal RNA
Source: RNAcentral
UUGGAGGGCAAGUCUGGUGCCAGCAGCCGCGGUAAUUCCAGCUCCAAUAGCGUAUAUUAAAGUUGUUGCAGUUAAAAAGCUCGUAGUUGAAUUUCGGGGUCAAUAGGUUGGUCGUGCCAAUGGUAUGUACUGGCUUUAUUGAUUCCUACCUCUUGACGAACUGUGAUGCCAUUAAUUUGGUGUUGCAGGAAAUCAGGACUGUUACCUUGAAAAAAUUAGAGUGUUUAAAGCAGGCUUACGCUUGAAUACAUUAGCAUGGAAUAAUGAAAUAGGACGUUUGAACCUAUUUUGUUGGUUUCUAGGAUCGACGUAAUGAUUAAUAGGGAUAGUUGGGGGCACUAGUUUUCAAUUGUCAGAGGUGAGAUUCUUGGAUUUAUCGAAGACUAACUACUGCGAAAGCAUUUGCCAAGGAUGUUUUCAUUAAUCAAGAACGAAAGUUAGGGGAUCGAAGACGAUCAGAUACCGUCGUAGUCUUAACCAUAAACUAUGCCGACUAGGGAUCGGAUGAUGUUAAUUUUUUAAUGACUCAUUCGGCGCCUUACGGGAAACCAAAGUGUUUGGGUUC